RNAcentral lists this long non-coding RNA (353 nucleotides) under Olea europaea subsp. europaea. Lineage: Eukaryota; Viridiplantae; Streptophyta; Magnoliopsida; Lamiales; Oleaceae. The record is from RNAcentral.
UUUUUUUUUUUUUUUUUUACAAGGUGUCCUAUUCUAGACUAAUCCUUGGGUCUGUGAUCCGGCCCCUCUUCACACAGUCCGGUUAAUCGCAGGAUGUGCCUCCAACUGGCCAGGGUCCGAGCGCUCCCCACCUGGUCUGACAAAGUGCCAAGCAAGCCAAUCCAAGUUGCACCUUGCCUUCCAAGAAUAAUCCUUGCCUUCCAAGUUCCCACUUGCCUUCCAAGAAUAAAUCAUUGCCUUCCAAAUGUUCCCUUGCCUUCCAAGAGCCCCAUGUUUCGAACUCACGACCUCUGCUCUGCCAGGUUUGACAGCGUCCGUCCUUUGCCAGUGGAGAAGUGUCCUGGGGGGCUCUG